GGGCGGUUAGCUUAACGGAACAAAAGCACAUCGCUUCGAACGAUGGAGAUGCGAGUUCGAUUCCCGCACCGCCCU
This 75-nucleotide transfer RNA is filed under the name Acidobacteriota bacterium. RNAcentral's name for it is "Acidobacteria bacterium tRNA-Arg". It matches the Rfam family "tRNA". From Rfam's summary of the family: Transfer RNA (tRNA) molecules are approximately 80 nucleotides in length. Their secondary structure includes four short double-helical elements and three loops (D, anti-codon, and T loops). RNAcentral also lists the same sequence under 1 other name. Lineage: Bacteria; Pseudomonadati; Acidobacteriota. The record is from RNAcentral.